Molecule: ribosomal RNA, 398 nt
Filed under: uncultured bacterium
Lineage: Bacteria
Description: partial 16S ribosomal RNA
Rfam family: Bacterial small subunit ribosomal RNA
Source: RNAcentral
AUACGUAGGGUGCGAGCGUUGUCCGGAAUUACUGGGCGUAAAGAGCUCGUAGGUGGUUUGUCGCGUCGUCUGUGAAAUUCCGGGGCUUAACUCUGGGCGUGCAGGCGAUACGGGCAUAACUUGAGUACUGUAGGGGAGACUGGAAUUCCUGGUGUAGCGGUGAAAUGCGCAGAUAUCAGGAGGAACACCGGUGGCGAAGGCGGGUCUCUGGGCAGUAACUGACGCUGAGGAGCGAAAGCAUGGGUAGCGAACAGGAUUAGAUACCCUGGUAGUCCAUGCCGUAAACGGUGGGCGCUAGGUGUAGAGGUCUUCCACGACUUCUGUGCCGUAGCUAACGCAUUAAGCGCCCCGCCUGGGGAGUACGGCCGCAAGGCUAAAACUCAAAUGAAUUGGCGGGG